GUAAGAGCUGGUGGCAAGAGCUGGUGGCUAUGGGUCUCUUAGGGUAUUGCAAAGGUGCGAGAGGGGGGGGUACCUAAUCUGUAUUUGUUGGAUAUGUUUUCCACCUGCUGUAGUAUGGCUCCCUUGCACCCUUUUUGAAAUUCUCCACUGUGGCAUUCGUAUAAUGGUUUGGGUUGGAAAGGACCUUUAAAAUUAAAUAGUUUCAGCCCCCUGCUGUAGGCAGGGACACCUCCCUCUAGACCAGGUUGCUCAGAGCUCCAUCCAGCCUGACCUUGAAUGCUUCCAGGGAGGGGACAUCCACAACCUCACUGGGCAGCCUGUUCCAGCAUCUCACCACCCUCACAGGGCUCUUUGUCACUGUGGUUUGCUUUUGUAUGGUAUCAUUCUCAUCUGUCAAAGUCUCGCUGCAAUUCUGGAGAUUCUUUUUGUCAGUUUUGUCUUCAAACUUGCUUGAGGAGAGGACUGAAUGGGAGGUUGUGCUCCCUGCAUAGUACCAGGUAAAAGAUUUGUCUCUGAUACUUUGCACUGGCUUGUAUGCACAUAGCCACUGGCCCUUGCAGCCAGCAGAGUUUUUGUCUUCUGUUG
Molecule: long non-coding RNA, 585 nt
Filed under: Gallus gallus (chicken)
Lineage: Eukaryota; Metazoa; Chordata; Aves; Galliformes; Phasianidae
Description: lncRNA (ENSGALG00010006829.1)
Source: RNAcentral